GGAACUGCCCUGUGGGGACAAGGACGUCCGUCAUCCUCUGCUCCUGCUCACAGUGACACUGAUCUGGUAACGCCCCCAUCCUGGCCUGACCCUGCCAUGGGCACCAGGCUCCUCUGCUGGGUGGUCCUGGGUUUCCUAGGGACAGAUCACACAGGUGCUGGAGUCUCCCAGUCUCCAAGGUACAAAGUCUCAAAGAGGGGACAGGAGGUAGCUCUCAGGUGUGAUCCAAUUUCGGGUCAUGCAGCCCUCUAUUGGUACCAACAGGCCCUGGGGCAGGGCCCAGAGCUUCUGACUUACUUCAAUUAUGAAGCUCAACAAGACAAAUCAGGGCUGCUCAGUGAUCGCUUCUCUGCAGAGAGGCCUGAGGGAUCCGUCUCCACCCUGACGAUCGAACGCACAGAGCAGGGGGACUCGGCCGUGUAUCUCUGUGCCAGCAGCUUAGCCACAGCGUGGCACAGUCGCCUCCUUCCUGCUCAGAAACCUCAUCCUUCUCUCUCCUUGUAG
Molecule: non-coding RNA, 504 nt
Organism: Rhinopithecus roxellana (golden snub-nosed monkey)
Lineage: Eukaryota; Metazoa; Chordata; Mammalia; Primates; Cercopithecidae
Source: the annotation of a RefSeq genome assembly